This 1465-nucleotide long non-coding RNA is filed under the name Salvia miltiorrhiza (redroot sage). Lineage: Eukaryota; Viridiplantae; Streptophyta; Magnoliopsida; Lamiales; Lamiaceae. The record is from RNAcentral.
AUAGUCAUUCGAAGAAUUAGGUCGAAUCGCGCCGCCAUAAUUUGGGAGAAAGGUGCGAAUGAAGCCGCACCCUUUGUAAUUGAUUUCACGAAUUUUUUUUUAGUUGUUUGGUCAAGAUGAAGCAAUACUCUGUUGCUCUUCAUCUGUUUGACCGAGCUGCUUCUGUAGAUCUCUACACCUCAAGUGUUGCGAUUAAUUGCUUUUGCCGUCUGAAAAUAGCUGAUUUGGGGUUUGCAAUCUUAGGCAGUUUUUGCAAGCGUGGGUUCGAUGAGUCUACUGUGGUAAAAUGUAGCGCCCUAAUCAAUGGGCUUUUGUUGGGAGUCAUGAAAAUUGUUGAAGAAGUUGUUAGUUGAGGAACUGUGUGAGCCAAAUGAAGUUAUUUAUCUUAGUUUGAUCGAUGAGUAUGCAAAGUUGAACAUACUCUCGAGCAAUGAUUGAUAGUCCAUGGAUAGUCUAUGCAAGGAUGGAAUGUCCUUUCAUUGUUUUUUAUCAUGGGUGAUAAGGGCAUUUUACGAGUUUGAUCAUUCAUGGAUGACUCUUUCAUUGAUGGAUUGUACAAUUUUUAGUUGAUAGGAACGAGGCUCAAGACAUUUUGAAAAUGAUCUUUAGCCGAUGGAACGAGGCGGAAGACAUGUUAAAGAUGAUCUUUAGUAGAUGGAACGAGGCUGAACACAUUUUAAAAAAGUUGGUGGUGGAGUGAGAUUGAAGGCAUGUUAAUUUUUUUAGUUGAUAUGAUAUGUUGAAGAAGAUGAUGGGUGACGAGGAUUAUUUCAAAGAGUCUUAGUUGAUACGAAGAUUACGUUUAUUGCAAAGAGUGUUAGAAGAUGGUGGCCGUUGAUGUUUAUUUUGCAAAGAGUCUUGUCUCAUGGUAAGAGUGGGGUGAUGUUUCUUACUAUAAUACAAUUGCUACAUGUAUAUUUUGUGAAUGCCGAUGUGAAGUCUUUUAAGAAGUAACAAGAUGUUAGAUCCAAUGCCAGUCUAGAAAGAGAUGAAUUCAAGGAGCUUCAUACUUGAUGCCACUACAUUUUGAGUUCGAGGGUUUUUUAGGACAGUAACUUAGAUUGAUUUGAAAAUUUAGACAAUAACUUUCAGACUUGUAAAAAUAGGACACUAAUUAUUUUUUAGAGUAAAAUAGGACACUAAUUAAUAAGUGUCGUAAAAAUAGGACAUUUCUCAGCCGAUAAUUGGCUAAAAAAUGUCCUACGGAUGCAACACUUAUUAAUUAGUAUCCUGUUUUACUCUAAAAAAAAUUAGUGUCCUAUUUUUACAAGUUCGAAAGUUAUUGUCCUAAUUUUCAAAUCAAUCUAAGUUAAUGUCCUAAAACAUCCCCGACUCCUACAUUUUCAGUGUUGUUUCAACAUUUAGAAACAGAGGAUCAAUGUAGUGUUCUUUUUUGUUAAGGUUUAGAAACUUGUAGCAAAUGAUAUGUAAUCUAUAGUCUACAAUUUAUAAUCAUCAAUUUUGA